GAAUCGAGAAGAAUCAGCUGGCUUGGGUGGGCCGAACUGUGAACUCUAUAUUCUUGAUUCCAGAGGUGCUCUAGUGGAACAGAGAGCUGUGGUUUCUAGGGAUAGGCUCAUUCUUACUCAUUGCCUUAUCCUCUCUGUUUUGAUUUUGAGGACAUGUGUCUUCGUUAUCCAAAUGCCACUGCAGUAAAUGUUUAUGGUGCAGGCGCACAGGCUAUCCACUCACUUGCAAUGAAAGCAAUAUAUUCUUUAAGUUUGUUAGGCUUACAACACUGAAAGUUCUUAAGCUUCACGGUUGUGAGGGAAUAACUUCAGCUUCAAUGGCUGCCAUAGCUUUCAGCUAUACAUUAGGUUCUGGAGCUUGAUAAUUGUAACCUACUAACAUCAGUUUCUUUGGAUCUUGCUCGCCUACAGAACAUAAGGCUUGUACAUUGUCGCAAAUUUGCUUAUUUGAAUUUACAAAGUGAUAUGCUCUCUUCUAUUACUAUUUCUAAUUGUCCUUUGCUCCAGCGAAUCAAUAUCACUUCGAAUUGACUCAAGAAGCUGGUGCUGUAAAAGCAAGAAUGCUUAACCACUUAACAACAAAAGCAAGAUUGUACAGGAUAGUUGAAGAGAUCAUAUUACUUUGCAUAUAGAAGUGAAGAUGAACAAGGUCAUGGGUUCAAGCCUUAAAAACCUCCCUAAAGAUAGAUCUUGCAUGACCAUACACAGAAGAGGCAUUUUUAUCUCCCUAAAGACUGAACCAGCAUCUCAAGAUCAUUCCAAGCAUGCUCAGAAGACUGAACCAGCACCUCAAGCUUUUAUCUCUCUUUUAGAGUUUGUUAGUGUAUCAGGUUACUGCAUUUUUAAUGUUAUUAUCAUCAUCAUCAUCAUCUAGGUGUGGCUUUGGGGAUGACCAGUUCUCAUGACCAUAGUGACAUUUUCUAUUGUUGAAGUUCAAUAUAGUUGAAAUUGCAACCUUUUAUA
Molecule: long non-coding RNA, 963 nt
Organism: Ipomoea triloba (trilobed morning glory)
Lineage: Eukaryota; Viridiplantae; Streptophyta; Magnoliopsida; Solanales; Convolvulaceae
Exons: 8
Source: RefSeq, a predicted model, not a curated record